Molecule: long non-coding RNA, 408 nt
Filed under: Urocitellus parryii (Arctic ground squirrel)
Lineage: Eukaryota; Metazoa; Chordata; Mammalia; Rodentia; Sciuridae
Description: lncRNA (ENSUPAG00010001093.1)
Source: RNAcentral
CAGACACUGAAUGCUGCUUGUCAUCCACUUCUGGCUUUUCUACAAAAGCCGUAUUGGUAAACCGUCCCAAACAUCUCUGAUGCUCUGAGAGCAACAACACCCCUAGCUAUAAAUUUGGAGCGGACUCUUCGCAGCUGAUUAGAGAGCCAAAUAGCUGGACCCCAAGCAGCAGCCAGCGACAAGACGCCUGGACGGGUACAUAGCUGGCAGCUCUGCCCGGCCGUGGUGAGGAUCCAUCGAUGGCCAUCGGCUGUCGCAGCGAGUGAAGGCGCACAGUCCGGACGCAGAGGCGGUGGGAGCCCCGCACCUUCGCAGCCAGCUCGCGCGGGACUUGGCGCAGCGCCCCGGACUGCGAGUGCCCCUGACCUCCUGGCCUGCUUGGGGACUGCAGGGGCGGGAGUGAUUUAA